RNAcentral lists this long non-coding RNA (304 nucleotides) under Homo sapiens (human). RNAcentral describes it as "HSALNT0031104". Lineage: Eukaryota; Metazoa; Chordata; Mammalia; Primates; Hominidae. The record is from RNAcentral.
UGGCUCUCACAUCAGAGGCAGACUCUCAGCUCGUCUGUGUGGGAGGAUGCAGGAGCUAUUUCCAUUUUAUUUCAUAUUCGUCACGAACUGUGUGUCCCACAGACAUGAGAAGCCACAGAACAAAGCCAGGCAGAAGGCUUAAUCAGGUCAGCAGCAUUUGAUAGGAAAAUAAGUACCUUCUUGACACUCUAUGGAUUAUAGAAAUUAUGCCUGGUAAAGCUACCUGUUUUCUGACAAGCCAUCCUUUUCAGCUAAAAUUUUCCACUCCUGGAUUCAGCCCAAAGGUGAGUUUAUUUUGGAAAGU